UGGAUACUGCCAACCCACCUCUCCCUCCCUGAAUGCUUCUUCUCUCUUUCCCACCAGCCUCACUUUUGACCAUGUGGAGUUUGCCAGCUGCCGUCCAGCUCACCUUUGAUGCCAACCCACUUACCACCAUCCAAAGUGAGAAGGAUGUCGUUCUGUCUAUGUUAGGGACCCCCCCCCCCCGGGGACCCCAGACUCAUCGUAGAUUCAGAGAUGCGAGCACAGAAAACAAGGCUCUCAUUCUGAUCCCUGCCUUCAUACCUAAAACACCCAUCGAGAUUCCACGCCCAAAGUCCUAAUAGAACAAAUCUGAUUGGCCAGCCAGGGUCUGGCAACAACCUGUCAGAUCAGCUGAUUUGGGGGAUGGGGUAAAGGGGUGGAUUGUAGCUGUCGUGGCUGGGGGUGGGAAAGGUUGGCUAAGACGUGGGUAGUGGGAUCUGGCUGGCAUCCGUUUCCAGCCUGAUUCUCCUUACAGCUGAUGUUAAUUGACCCAUUGUCAAACCCCAGAUCCUUCUGCUUUAUCUGUACGAUCCCAUUUAAUGAGGCUUAGAUUGGAAGUAGGUUGUCCACAAUCACACUCCAAAUGAGCAGUGGAUCUAGCAUUUGAGCCCAGGCAUUGAGCUCAUGUGUCUUGAGGCAAUUCCGAACCACCCUUGUCUCUCUGGGUCCCUCUGUGGCUACAUUUUGCUCGGCCCUCCUCUGUGUCUCUGCUCCUGCCUCCCUCUUUCUCUUCCUGCGCAGAACUGCUGGCCAGACCCACCAUUGCAAUCAGCCAGGACACUGCCACGGAACAGAGGGAAAACCUGACCUUCUGCUGUAGCACCCAGGAUGCUGACGUUACCAUCCACUGGGUCUUCAACGAUCUCCCCCUGGUGUUCCAUGAGCGCAUGCAGCUGUCCACAGAUGGCAAGACCCUCACCAUCCUCACUGUACAGCGGGAAGACUCUGGGACUUACAAAUGUGAAGCCCAGGCUUUCCACCAGGUCCGGAGCAGUGCUCCCACCUUCCUGACUGUGAACUGUAAGUCCCUUUCCAUUCUCCCCAGCCCCUCAUCGACACCCCCUUCCUUGGUGAUCUCAUUCAGUCUCACUGCUUCAGAUACCAUCCAAAUGUGGACUCGUCUACCCUUGGACUCCAGACGUAUAACCAUUUGAUGUCUCUACUUGGUUCUACUGGAAACUUCCAAGUUAACAUAUCUAAAACUAAGUUCUUUAACCUUCAGAUGUGUGCUACAAAAGCUUGUCUGGGUAGUGGCAAGGAAAGAGCAUUUAGACACGUCUUACAAUCCUGCUUUACCCAGGGAUAAGGCUGACAUUUAAUUUCCACUGGGUUCCUGUAUCUCCUUUGUAAUUGAUCCAGAGCUUGGGUGGGGGAGAAGAGAAAUAUUAAUAUUUAUUGACCCCUGAGCUCUGUCUCUCUCAGAAAGCCAUUGCUGAGCUGUUGUUGCUGCUAUGAUUGUUCUUGUGCUUCCAGAUGGUCCUGACCCCUUUGAAAUCAAGUUGGAGUCUGGCGUAUCCAGAGGGGAGGUGGUUGAAGUGAUAGAGGGCUCCACUGUGACCUUCUCCGUGGAAACACAGUCCCAUCCUCCCCCUGCCUAUACCUGGUUUCUCCCCUAUGACUCCAUCCCACCUCCCACCAUGAGUUCGUUCACCAUCCAAGCUGUGUCCCGGGAACAUGAAGGCACGUACAGGUGCUUGGUAUCCAACGGUGCUACCCACCUGCUUCGCCUGGGCGCUCUUACAGUUCGAGUCCUUGGUGAGCUUCUUCUUCCUGUUCCUCUCCUUUGUUCCUCUGAGAAUCAGGGCUAUACCAGUAUCCCGGAGGCUGAGAAGGACCCAGAGGAGUGGGGAUUUCUCGUGUGGCUGGUGGCAGCAUAGGGCUCUGGCCACAGGGAAGGUCCUGGCUCCUGGCUUGACGUGUCCUCCCCAAGACCUCGUUGGCUGUCUAUGGGUUGUCCAUUAUUUGAUUCUCUCUGAAAGUUGGCGGGGAGGGGCGGGCGUUGAUUCUCUGUCCAUACAAACACACAAUAUUCACACAUCUCACACACACAGAGUCUCACAUGCGUAAAUAACAACCACAUAUGCACAGCUGUGCACGAUACACACAAUUUACAUACGAUACCCAUAACACAGUGCAACCAACGUAUAACCUACACACGAAACAUACGACGUGCACACAGCUGACACACGAUAUACAUACUCCGUAGCUACAGGCACACACGACAGCCAUACACAAAGCGUGUCCACACCACACGAUGACACACGCCACGUACAUUCACAUGCAGAAGGCCCACGUACACGAUACAAACUCACAAUGCCUCACAGUCACACAACAAAUACGACACACGCAUACAGCAGACACAGACAUAUGCACGAGACGCGUCCAUAGACCACACCCUCACCAAACAUACAAAACCCGUCACGUCCUCGCGAUUGUUACACGACACCCGCAGCACCCGUAUCACGCAGUCACACACACACACACACACACACACACACAAGACGUACACAUGUAUCCCUGGAAAGCCCCCAAGGGCCCCCCGCCUGGGCAGGAGACUAGGGAAGGGGUCCCUGACCCCUACCCGUGUCUCUUUGUGUUUCCAGAAACGCUGACCAAGCCUCACAUUGUGCCCCCAAGCCUGAAUCUCGUGGAAAAUGCCAGCUCCGUGGCCCUGACCUGCCAGACCCCCCAUGAGGGGGCUGGAGUCUGUGGCUCCUGAGGGGCCAGGCUCUCCUGCCCAGCGAUCACCUGGUGCUGUCGGCUGACAACAGGAGCCUGGUCAUCCACGGCCUCCGGAGGGACGACACAGGGCCCUAUGAGUGUGAGGUCUGGAACUGGGGCAGCCGGGCACGAAGCGAGCCCUUCAGGCUCGCCAUGAGCUGUGAGUCACCCGGGCUGGGCCUUGUCCUCCUCCCUCCCUCCUUCCCUUCCUCCCUCCUUCCCUCCCUCCUUCCCUCCUUCCCUCCCUCUUUCCCUCCCUCCCUUUCCGUUCUUCCUUCUAGCCAUUUAUUCCACAAUCACCGAAUACCUGCUGUGUGCCAGCCCUGUCUCGGCACCCGACAGGACGCAGCACCAGCCCUGGUGGGGCUUCUAUUCUAGUGGGGAGACAAACCUUAAACAGCUAAGCAGGGGACAGAUGUGUUGUGUCACCGCCGUGGGGCUAAGGAGAACCAGGAGGCAGCGAGAGGGGCAGGGAAGGCCGGGAGGGGAAGGCCUUGCAGUCUUAGCUGGGGUAGUCAGGGCAGGCUUCCCUGAGGAGGUGGCAUUCCUGCAGAAGCUUGUGGGCAGCUAAGGGAAGAGAGCGCCGGGCGGAGGGAGCAGCGUGCGAGGUGGGUGGUGACAAGUGGGCAGAGGAACCCGAGCAGGCCAAGGCGACCAGACAGGUGAACUGGGGCGGAUGGCAUGGAAGAGGUCAGGAGGUUGUAGGGCUGGGGGCAGAUCAUGCAGGGCCCCGUGAGCCGUGGUGAGGACACUGGGAGCCACAGAAGGCUCUGAGUGGAGGGAGGAGAGGAUUAGACUUAGGUUUUCCCAGAGUGUCCUAGGCCCUUGUCUAUGGGGGGCGGGGGUGAAGCGGGGGAGGAGGAGAUUUAGAAAGUUCGGGACCUUGGAGAGGCAGACCCCAGGGUAGGACUAAAGGGGUGACACGGGCGAGGAUUUUGGUAGGAUGAGUGCUCCUGUGCACAAACGAAGGGAGGGAGCUGUGAGGGCUGGGGGAGCCAGUGAGUGAGGUGUUUGACCCUGAGCAAGCAGAGGAGGGGAGGGCAGGGGUGGGGUAGAGAGGGUUGGGUAGAAGUACAGAGACCACCGUGCAGCCUAAGGAACAUUGUCAAGGCGGUAGGGAGAGUCCCAUGUCUCCCAGGAAGGGGUCUGCCUCAGUUUCCCCAACACACCCAGGUAUAAGUAGGGGGGCAGCCCGUGGGGAGGGCCGGCAGUGGAUUCCAGGGCACAGAGGUUGGGCCCUCCGUUACUGAAACCCCUGCCGUCGGAAGCCUGCGAGGCGCCUCCUCCCGGUGGCCACGGCUGUCCGUCAGGAGGUGACGGACCUGGGCCAGGGGGCAGCUGUGGGGGUGAGAAGCGGUGCGACCGUGGAUGCAUUUUGAAUAUCGAACUCACGGGGACAGCGUGCAAAGUGCCGCCGUGGGGCGACGGUGUUUGGGGAACCCGAGGGAAGCCCCCAGAGUCUGGCGGGGGAGGGGGGGUCGUGUGGGAAGGCUCGUGGUGAGAUGUGUCUACCAUGGGAUCCGAAGGACGGGCAAGUUGUCUAGGAAGAGCAGACUCCGGGAAGAGCAUUCCAGAGAAGGAAGAGAAUGUGCGAAGGCUCUGAGGCAAGACGGAACAGGAGAGAGGUGGAAGAUGCAAGCAGGAUGUUAUUUCUGGAUCGGGAGUGGAAGGUGUGGAGAGGUGGGCGGCGGGGCUGGAGGGGUCUGCAAGGGCGAGACUGUGAACGAGCCCCUCAGCCAUGGCCUUUGCCCUAAGGACACUGGGGAGCCAUGGAGGGUUCUGAGUGGGGGAGGGAUAGUGUCAAAUUUGCACUUAGGAAGUCCCCUCUGGUUGCCUUGGGGAGGAUCUGAUGCCAGGAUUGGAAGACCGUGAGGGAUCCUGGUAGCCAGGCGGUUCAGAUGGGGGGGCGGAUAUCAAAGGAUUCCUGGGCGGGGGGUGAGGGCAGGAUUGUCCUCUUUUCUAGGAGGGCAACAACUCAAAGCUCUUUGCAUCCUUCCUUCCAGUGGUUCAUCAUUAAUUUAUUUAAAAAAAAUUUUUUACGUCAUUUUAUUUUUGAAAGAAAGAGAUGAGGGGGGGAGGGGCAGAGAGAGAGAGAGAGAGAGAGAGAGAGGCACGGAAUCUGAAGCAGGAUCUAGGCUGAGCCUUCGGCACAACAGAGCCCCACGCAGGCCUCGAACCCACAGACCGUGAGACCAUGACCUGAGUAGAAGUCAGACUCUCAACCGCUUAACCAACUGGGCCACACCCAGGCACCUGUCACAUUAAUGUAAAUAAGGUAAAGACUCAGGGCACCCGGGGGGCCCGGUCCGUAGGCUGUCGUUUAAAGAAGACAAAGACUCAACUCUCAGUUUGCGUGAGAAAUUCAACAGCCAUUGCGUUUGUUUCCUUCCCUUUCCCUUCGUUUCCUUUCCUUUCCUUCCCUUCCCGUACCAGGCACCUGUCCCAGGCUCUCCUUCUGGCUUCACGGGGCAAAGCCACAAGCAUCUCUCUCUACCUUUGGGGAUACACGGGUGUAAAUUCAAAUAUUGCAACAGGGCUAUUUGCUGUUCGGUUAGAAAGUCCCUCAGAACGGUGACGGUUCUGGAAGUUUAGGGCUCAUGCUUGUGGGACGCGGCAGCAGGACAGGAAAACUCACUGGUGGAGGGUGGAGGCGUGAUGUUUGGCUUUGCACACAGACGGCCCUGACCGAGUGGACAUCACCAGCGGGUCUGCGCCCGGGGUGGUCGGCACCGUGGAGGCCGAGCUCAACUCCAGCCUGACCCUGCGGUGCCGGGCGGAGUCCCAGCCGGGCGCUGAGUUUCGCUGGGCCCUUGAACAGUCCACCGCUGUGCAUGCGGGGCAGGUGCUGAUCAUCCGGGCCCUGACCUGGGAGCACCAGGGGAUCUACGGCUGCACGGCCUCCAACCCGCUGACCCAGCUGGCCCGCUCUGCCUCGGUCCGGGUCAGAGUGGUAGGUGAGUCCCCCAGCGCCCCUUCCCCUGGGGUCCAAGUGGCUUUUCCUGAUGCCGGCCGAAGCUAUGUGGGCUUCUCGCGUGGCAGGGAGUGUGCUGCGUGGGCAGGUUCCCAGUGUGGAGCUGUUCGAUCCCAGCCUAGAACCUCUGCUUCCUAGCCGUGCGCCCCCCGGGAAACCCUUGCAGGCUGCUCUGAGCCUCAGUUUCCUUACCUGUAAACGGGGGUUGUGAUGCCUUCCCUUCCAGAGUUGUUUAGCAGUACAGUGAGUCGGGAGACAGCCCCUGGGUGGAGGAGUGAGGUAGGAAUUCUAUUAAUGAUAGGAAUCACAUGAAUCACAACUGGGUGUGACUGGCAGCGGGUCCCCGUAUUUCUGUCUUGAGUUCUCGAGGGGACAACACGGUGUGGCUCUUAGCCAGGGUUCCGAUCCCAGCUCUGCUGCUUGAUAGCUGUGUGACCCUGGGCGUGCUGCUUAACAUCUCUGGUCCUCUGAUUACUUGUAGGUAACACAGACAUAAUAACCGCGCUUAUAUCCUAGGGUUGUUGAAAAUGAACCGACAUUCGUAAAGUGUUUAUGGCAGUGCCUGGCAUAUUGUGUUUAUUAAACAAAUAGAAUUAUUCUUUGCUGAGCCUGUACCACAUGCUUGAAACAAGCCUUUCCAUAUACCGUAUCAGCAAACACUUCUUGGGUAGCUCCCCAGCCAGCCGGCUCCGAGGUGGGCCUGCUGGCAUCUCUGUUGGGUAGGAGAGACUGAGCCCUGUCCUAGGGUCUGAAGCCAGGAGCGACGUUUUUAGUCAUCGCUGAGCAGAGGACCCGGUGUACCUUCCCAAACUACCAUAUGUAAUCUUCAGAACAACCCUCUGGUCUUGUUAAGACCUUUUUUUUUUUUCUAUUUUUUAAAUGCUUAUUUAAUUUUUGAGAGAGAGAGCAUGAGUAGGGGAGAGGCAGAGAGAGAGGGAGACGCAGAAUCCGAAGCAGGCCCCAGGCUCCGAGCUGUCAGGACGGAGCCCGACGUGGGGCUCGAACCCACGAGCUGUGGGAUCAUGACCUGAGCCGAAGUCGGACGCUUAACCGACUGAGCCACCCAGGUGUCCCCAAGACCUCUUGAUGAAUGGAGAAACAGAGGCUCAGAGGAGGAAGCAGUGAGUCCGGUUGAUGGUCAUGGGGAUGUUGUAGGGUUUGAACGAGAUCACGUAUGAAGGGCUCUCGGAGCUUAGAGCCUGGGGGAAGGCAGCGUCUGGCAUCAUCAUCACCGGAUCGUAUCAUCGCCUUUCACCAAGUGCUGACUCUGUGUCAGGCAUGGCCCUGGUUCUUCCAAGUGGGAUCUCACUUGAUCCCGGCAGAAGCCUAUAGGGUUAUGAAUGGCCAUGCUCAUUUGGCACAGGAAGAAACGAAAGCUCGGAGAAUGAAACCAAGAACCCCCGUCGCAUCCUGGAAGCCCCCCUCCUGUGCCUCCAGAGCAGAGCCCCUUCCUUCUUAAGAGCAGUGUCCUGAUUCUUUCUCCUUGCCCAGGUCCCCAGUCAUCCCUGUCUGCAGGAGCCAUUGGUGGCAUUGCUAUCGGGAUCCUGGCUCUCAUUGCCCUGUCCGCAGGGCUGGGCUGUUUCCUCUGCAUCAGAAAUGCCAGACGG
Molecule: long non-coding RNA, 7296 nt
Filed under: Lynx pardinus (Iberian lynx)
Lineage: Eukaryota; Metazoa; Chordata; Mammalia; Carnivora; Felidae
Source: RNAcentral